GACGAACGCUGGCGGCGGGCUUAACACAUGCAAGUCGAACGGAAAGGCCCUGCUUUUGUGGGGUGCUCGAGUGGCGAACGGGUGAGUAACACGUGAGUAACCUGCCCUUGACUUUGGGAUAACUUCAGGAAACUGGGGCUAAUACCGGAUAGGAGCGCCUGCUGCUUGGUGGGGGUUGGAAAGUUUCGGCGGUUGGGGAUGGACUCGCGGCUUAUCAGCUGGUUGGUGGGGUAGUGGCUUACCAAGGCUUGGACGGGUGGCCGGCCUGAGAGGGGGACCGGCCACAUUGGGACUGAGAUACGGGACGGAGUCCUACGGGAGGCAGCAGUAGGGAAUAGUGCACAAUGGGCGGAAGCCUGAUGCAGCAACGCCGCGUGAGGGAUUACGGCCUUCGGGUUGUAAACCGCUUUAGCCUGUGACGAAGCGUGAGUGACGGUAAUGGAUAAAGAAGCACCGGCUAACUACGUG
This 468-nucleotide ribosomal RNA is filed under the name uncultured bacterium. RNAcentral describes it as "partial 16S ribosomal RNA". It matches the Rfam family "Bacterial small subunit ribosomal RNA", at positions 28 to 507 of the family's 1533-position model. The record is from RNAcentral.